UGACCUCGGAUCAGUCGUGAAUACCCGCUGAACUUAAGCAUAUCACUAAGCGGAGGAAAAGAAACUAACCAGGAUUCCCCUAGUAACGGCGAGUGAAGAGGGAAUAGCCCAGCACCGAAGCCUGCAGUAGUUUUGCUGUUAGGCAAUGUGGUGUUUGGGUCGGCUAGUGGGAUUGCCACUCCACUCGAAGUCCAGCAUUGAGUAUGGUCACUGGAUUUGGCCCAGAGAGGGUGAAAGGCCCGUACGGGUGGAGGUCUCAGACAAGUAAGGCAAUUCACCAGGCCGGCCUUAGAGUCGGGUUGUUUGUGAAUGCAGCCCAAAGUGGGUGGUAAACUCCAUCCAAGGCUAAAUACUAGCACGAGUCCGAUAGCGAACAAGUACCGUGAGGGAAAGUUGAAAAGUACUUUGAAGAGAGAGUAAACAGUACGUGAAACCGCAUGCAGGUAAACGGGUGGCGUCAAGCUGCAAGCCCGGAGGAUUCAGCUGGCUAGGAUGUUGUGUAUGCGCCUGGCGCAUCUAUCAGCCGGAGUAAGAUGUGAUAGUCCACUGGUAAACGGUGGGCCCGGCCGCAAGGUUGGGAUAUGUGUACCGGGCGGAAGCCGGAGCAUGCUAUUCGUCUGUUGGGCUGUCUAGUCAGUGCACUUUCUCUGUGGUGAACACCACGACCGGUGGAAUUGCCAGUCUGCUGUAGUCAAGUCGUAUUCAGUCGGUUCUUGUAGCCAACUGGGUGCGAUCACAGGCAAACUCAGUAAACGGCGUAGGGGUGUCUCGGCAUCCUUGCGUGUUAUCGGCUGCUGGUUGUCAACGGGCCUGCCUGAUGAUUGUUGUAACCGUCAUUGGGUGGUCUGGUGGGCUAUGGUGGUAAGAAUAACUGUGCAAGGCAUCGGAGUUCUCGGCCUCAAAUGCAUCCUGCAUACACGUUACAAGUGGAGUGGGGUGCCAUUGCAGCCUGCCUGUUGUUGGGUCUGAUUGUCGUGUCGCCUGCGCAAAGUGGGCCCGGCAGUGGCCUGAUGCGGGAUGGGUUGUGGAUGGUGCUUCCUGUGUAGGGUGCGGUGGGUCAAAUAGUCAGUGGUGUAGUGGUAGACGAGCUACCCGACCCGUCUUGAAACACGGACCAAGGAGUUUAACAUGUAUGCGAGUCAAGGGGUCCUACGAAACCCAAAGGCGCAGUGAAAGUAAAGCUUCGACUUGUCUCGGAGUGAGGUGAGAUCCUGCCGUUACUCGCAUCAGUCUUUUGUCAGCAUCAGGCUAAGAGCGGUGGGCGCAUCACCGGCCCGUCCCAUGAUGUGGUCAUUGGAUGUCUGCAGUCGUUGCUUGCAGCGGUUGUGGUGCCAGUGCGUCAUCGGGGCGGAGCAUGAGCAUACAUGUUGAGACCCGAAAGAUGGUGAACUAUGCUUGCGUAGGUUGAAGCCAGAGGAAACUCUGGUGGAGGACCGCAGCGAUUCUGACGUGCAAAUCGAUCGUCAAACGUGAGUAUAGGGGCGAAAGACUAAUCGAACCAUCUAGUAGCUGGUUCCCUCCGAAGUUUCCCUCAGGAUAGCUGGCGCUCAUUCGCAUGAUCAGUUUUAUCCGGUAAAGCGAAUGAUUAGAGGUGCUGGGUUCGAAACGAGCUCAACCUAUUCUCAAACUUUAAAUGGGUGAGAUGUCCGACUCGCCUAAUAGGAGUCGGGCGUUGAAUGUGUGAGUGCCAAGUGGGCCAUUUUUGGUAAGCAGAACUGGCGCUGUGGGAUGAACCAAACGCUCGGUUAAGGUGCCUAACGCAGACGCUCAUGAGAUACCACAAAAGGUGUUGGUUAAUAUAGACAGCAGGACGGUGGCCAUGGAAGUCGGCAUCCGCUAAGGAGUGUGUAACAACUCACCUGCCGAAUUGACCAGCCCUGAAAAUGGAUGGCGCUGGAGCGUCGGACCUAUACCGGGCCGUCAUUGCAAGCUGAGUCGCUGACGAAUGUGUAUGGUGUGAGCGGUGUUAUUCGCCGUCCAGAAGUCAUGGCUCAGGCAUGGAGUGCGAUGACGAGUAGGAGGGUCGCCGUGGUGAGCGUGGAAGCUUCGGGCGUGAGCCUGGGUGGAGCCGCCACGGGUGCAGAUCUUGGUGGUAGUAGCAAAUAUUCAAGUGAGAACCUUGAAGGCCGAGGUGGAGAAGGGUUCCAUGGGAACAGCAGUUGACCAUGGGUCAGGCGGUCCUAAGCGAUCCGGUGACUCGGUACAGAGACGUGGGGUGCCUUCUAUGUGUGCGUAUACAUGUAUGGUGCUUAUGCUGGUAGCCCCCCGGAGCGAAAGGGAAUCGGGUUAAUAUUCUCGACCCUGCCCACGGAGAUAGGCGGCGUUUGGCUGGACUGCGCAAGUGGUCUAUGUCUGGGCGUCGUCAAGCGCGGUAACGCGAGCGAACUCGGAGACGUCGGCGAGAGUUCCGGGAAGAGUUUUCUUUUCUUUGUAAGGAUGGCUACCACCCCUGGAAUCGGGUUGUCCGGAGAUAGGGGUAUCGCCUCCGUAAAGCACCACCCCUCUUGUGGUGUCCGGAACGCUCUUGUCGGCCCUUGAAAAUCCGA
RNAcentral lists this ribosomal RNA (2546 nucleotides) under Clistobothrium sp. JH-2016. RNAcentral's name for it is "eukaryotic LSU rRNA". It matches the Rfam family "Eukaryotic large subunit ribosomal RNA", at positions 1 to 1816 of the family's 3401-position model. Lineage: Eukaryota; Metazoa; Platyhelminthes; Cestoda; Phyllobothriidea; Phyllobothriidae. The record is from RNAcentral.